Molecule: transfer RNA, 71 nt
Filed under: Marmota monax (woodchuck)
Lineage: Eukaryota; Metazoa; Chordata; Mammalia; Rodentia; Sciuridae
Description: tRNA.Val
Source: RNAcentral
GGGGUUGUGGCUCAGUGGUAGACAGCUCACCUCACAAGUGCGAGGCCCUGGGUUUGAUACUCAGCACCACA